AACCAUUCUCACCUGCGGCUAGACCUGCGGAGGGAUCAUUACCGAGUUUACAACUCCCAAACCCCUGUGAACAUACCACUUGUUGCCUCGGCGGAUCAGCCCGCUCCCGGUAAAACGGGACGGCCCGCCAGAGGACCCCUAAACUCUGUUUCUAUAUGUAACUUCUGAGUAAAACCAUAAAUAAAUCAAAACUUUUAACAAUGGAUCU
RNAcentral lists this unclassified non-coding RNA (208 nucleotides) under soil metagenome. Its description in RNAcentral is "partial contains 5.8S ribosomal RNA, internal transcribed spacer 2, and large subunit ribosomal RNA". The record is from RNAcentral.